CUAGAGUGGUCCUUUAACACAGCGAUGAUUCAGCAGGGCCCAUAUACUAUUCUAUUAUCAUUGCUUCAUGCAGAGAGCACUAUUCUUUGUUGUAUUUUUUUCCUCGCAUAUCGAGACUACCUUCACUCCGAGUCAUACACCAUCAGCUACCACCUAUAUUCUACCAAUGGGGGAUCAACGCCACUGAAUGCAUCAAUAGGUGAGUAGGAAUACCAUUGCUGUGAAGUUUCUGUUCUGUUCAUUGCUGGAUACAGUGUACACUAUUGGAGCUCUUCUUUUUAUUUGCAUAUCCUGAACUAUACUAAGAGGAUCAGAAGACCUCAAGAUCUGCACUACUAGCAGUCCCACACCAUAUUUAAGUCCCC
Molecule: non-coding RNA, 365 nt
Organism: Pelobates cultripes (western spadefoot toad)
Lineage: Eukaryota; Metazoa; Chordata; Amphibia; Anura; Pelobatidae
Source: the annotation of a GenBank genome assembly